RNAcentral lists this ribosomal RNA (130 nucleotides) under Nannospalax galili (Upper Galilee mountains blind mole rat). The record is from RNAcentral. Lineage: Eukaryota; Metazoa; Chordata; Mammalia; Rodentia; Spalacidae.
AUCUACAGUCAUACCACUCUGGAUGCACCCAGUCACCGCUAAUCUCAGAAGCUAAGCAAAGUCAGCCCUGGUUAGUUACUUAAAUGGGAGAAAAUCUUUUAAUUCAGAAUAUGGUUUCAGGAGUUGGAUA